ACCUGAAACCAUAUGCCUACAAGAAGUCAGAGCCCGUUAAAGGGUGAUGGCGUGCCUUUUGUAGAAUGAACCGGCGAGUUACUGUAUGGAGCGAGGUUAAGCAGGAUAUGCGGAGCCGAAGCGAAAGCGAGUCUUAAGAGGGCGCGAGUUGCAUGCAGUAGACCCGAAACCGGGUGAUCUAGCCAUGACCAGGUUGAAGUUGGGGUAAAACCCGAUGGAGGACCGAACCGACCCCCGUUGAAACGUUGGCGGAUGAGUUGUGGCUAGGGGUGAAAUUCCAAUCGAACCCGGAGAUAGCUGGUUCUCCCCGAAAUAGCUUUAGGGCUAGCGUCGAGAGAAGAGUUGCGUGAAGGUAGAGCACUGAAUAUGUGAUGGCCCCAUCUCGGGGUACUGAGCAUAAUCAAACUGCGAAUGUCACGCCAACAUGCUCGGCAGUCAGACAGCGGGUGAUAAGGUCCGUUGUCAAGAGGGAAACAGCCCAGACCAUCAGCUAAGGUCCCAAAAUGUAUGCUAAGUGGAAAAGGAUGUGGAGAUGUACAGACAACUAGGAGGUUGGCUCAGAAGCAGCCAUCCUUUAAAGAGUGCGUAACAGCUCACUAGUCGAAUGACUCUGCGCCGAUAAUUUACCGGGGCUAAGCAUACUACCGAAGCUAUGGAUCCCAAGGGAUGGUAGGGGAGCGUUCCAUGAACGGAGAAGUACGACCGAAAGGACGUGUGGAGAUCAUGGAAGAGAGAAUGCCGGUGUGAGUAGCGGAACGUGGGUGAGAAUCCCACGCACCGAAAACCCAAGGUUUCCAGAGGAAGGUUCGUCCGCUCUGGGUAAGUCGGGACCUAAGGCGAGGCCGAAAGGCGUAGUCGAUGGACAACAGGUAGAGAUUCCUGUACCCGUAUAUAUGUGAAGGAAUGACGGAGAGAGGAAGCUGCAGCCAGCGGCUGGAAGAGCUGGUGCAAGCGAGAUAUCGGGAUGGCAGGCAAAUCCACCAUCCGAAACGAGAAGGCGUGAAGCGUACGGAAAGCUACGGCGAGUACGGAAGGCAGUGGAGGAACUUCCAAGAAAAGUUUCUAACGUUAAGUAUAUAUGGCCCGUACCGAAAAUGGACACACAUGGGUGAGGAGAGAAUCCUAAGGUGAGCGAGAGAACUAUAGCUAAGGAACUCUGCAAAAUGACUCCGUAACUUAGGGAGAAGGAGUGCUCAUAGAGAUAUGAGCCGCAGUGAAACGGCCCAAGCGACUGUUUACCAAAAACACAGCUCUCUGCUAAGCCGCAAGGCGAAGUAUAGGGGGUGACGCCUGCCCGGUGCUGGAAGGUUAAGGGGAGGGGUUAACGCAAGUGAAGCCCUGAACUGAAGCCCCAGUAAACGGCGGCCGUAACUAUAACGGUCCUAAGGUAGCGAAAUUCCUUGUCAGGUAAGUUCUGACCCGCACGAAAGGCGUAACGAUUUGGGCGCUGUCUCAGCUGUAGACUCGGUGAAGUCUUAGUACCUGUGAAGAUGCAGGUUACCCGCGACUAGACGGAAAGACCCCAUGGAGCUUCACUGCAGGUUGAUAUUGGGAUUUGAUGCAGCAUGUACAGGAUAGGUAGGAGGCAAAGAGAUGGAUACGCCAGUAUUCAAGGAGCCGCUGUUGGGAUACUACCCCUGUUGUAUUGGAUUUCUAACCGGACGACGUAGAGCCGUUGACGGGACAGUGUCAGUCGGGCAGUUUGACUGGGGCGGUCGCCUCCCAAAGAGUAACGGAGGCGCCCAAAGAUACCCUCAGCUUGGAUGGAAACCAAGCGCAGAGUGCAAAGGCAAAAGGGAGCUUGACUGCGAGACCUACAAGUCGAGCAGGGACGAAAGUCGGGCUUAGUGAUCCGGCGGUACCGAAUGGAAGGGCCGUCGCUCAACGGAUAAAAGCUACCCUGGGGAUAACAGGCUGAUCUCCCCCAAGAGUUCACAUCGACGGGGAGGUUUGGCACCUCGAUGUCGGCUCAUCGCAUCCUGGAGCUGAAGUCGGUUCCAAGGGUUGGGCUGUUCGCCCAUUAAAGCGGUACGCGAGCUGGGUUCA
Molecule: ribosomal RNA, 2046 nt
Filed under: wastewater metagenome
Description: bacterial LSU rRNA
Rfam family: Bacterial large subunit ribosomal RNA
Source: RNAcentral